Molecule: long non-coding RNA, 5231 nt
Filed under: Homo sapiens (human)
Lineage: Eukaryota; Metazoa; Chordata; Mammalia; Primates; Hominidae
Description: HSALNT0180606
Source: RNAcentral
AGUUUCAGAAAAAGAAAAGUUAAAGAAAAGAGGAGAAUGCUGGGUGAGGCUCAAAGAGCUUCAAUGACUUGCCUCAGAAAUGACAGGAUGGACCUUGUGUAACCCAGUGAUGUAUUCAUAAUCGACAGUUGCCAAGUUGAUGCUCCAUUAUUACCUUGAGUUUUGAUGAUCCUUUGAUAUGCCAUGACCCAACAGAGAUAAGGUGUCCUGGGAGUGGAGAAAGGGCAGUUUCAUACAUGUUGUCAGCAUGUCACAUGUUUUUUCAAUAUUUAAGGAAGGAAUCUGGAGAAACAGGAAUCUGGAGUUGAAUUCCUCUAUGGUCAGAUGGUAUCAUGACCUCAUCAUUGGCGUUUCCUCUCCAGGAAUGGAACAUUGAAGAGAGGAAAGAAUCAUAGACUUUGUUUGUAUCCUGCCAACCCUCAACAGAACAGACUGCAAUAGGGGAGGAAUGGACGUAACCACUAACAGUAAAUAACUCUUCUCCAGGAAGCAUUUCCAAAGAAGUCCAUCACACCUUUGUUCUUGGCAAACAUCCUCACUUUUCUGGUUUGCUUUGAAAAGCAACAGGCAGCAUGUACACAACAAACGUCACCCAGGAAAUAGGCAAGCAGUAAGUGUCAUGGAUUCCUCUAUUUGCUCAGUUCUUACAGAAAAUCUUAUACAUGGACUAGCAAACUGCACAAGGACAUUAUUUGUCUUGCCCAAACCCUGCAGUUGGUGUUGUCUUUCUUCUCCUGGUGCAGGCCGAUGUCCUAGUCCACCCAUACAGCUUUUUCUCCUCCAUGAGUCCUGUUCUGUUUCUACUAGUACUUCCUGAGCCAUAUUGUGUCCCUUACUACUGGUGAGCUCUAGCUAAAUUAUGGAUCCCAUGACAACAACAUGGGCUAACUACAGCCUUUUUACAUAUUUAAAGACAGAGUCUAAGGAAGAACAAAAACAACUUUUUACAAUGAGAUUCAUAACUAAAGAUGCAUUUCAAUGACUUCUCCUGCCUCUACCACCACAAAUACGGCAGAUUUAGUGCCUUAGUUACAUCAUAAUUGCUCAGGAAAAAGCAGACUGACAUUUCAACUGCUUGUUAGCUACAACUAUAGAGACUUGAACUUUGUUUUUCUAUAUAAAGGGCUACAUUCACUAUCUGUUUUAAUUCUCAAUUUAAUUUGAGCUGGAAUCACAUAUGAUGUCAAAUAAAGAAGGUCAGGUGUGGUGGCUCACGCCUAUAAUCCCAGCACUUUGGGAGUCUGAGGUGGGUGAAUCACCUGAGAUCAGGUGUUCGAGACAAGCCUGGGCAACAUGGUGAAACCCUGUCUCUACUAAAAGUACAAAAAUUAGAUGGGUGUGGUGGCUCAUGCCUGCAGUCCCAGCUACUCAGAAGGCUAAGACAGGAGAAUUGCUCAAACCUGGAAGGUGGAGGUUGCAGUGAGCCAAGAUCGUGCCACUGUACUCCAGCCUGGGCAACAGAGCAAGACUCUGUCUCACAAAAAAAAAAAAAAAAAAAAAAAAGCAAAAAUGAUCCAGGAAGAGCAACAAAGAAUUUGAUUUAUAGUCCUGGGUUUAAUUUCCCAGUAAAAUAGUACAAGCUAUUUUAUGAUGGCAUACUUGGAAAGCCAUGAACCUAGACACAGGUACACUGUAUAAACUCAGUGUGACCUUGCCAAAAGACGCCAAAAUGGAAAGUAAAGAGGUUCGGACUAGUGAACCUCACUUGUACAAGAGAUGAGAAUAGCCAAAUACAUAGGAUCUAACAAAUAAACUAGAAUUAGAGAAUCUUGUUUGAAAAGAAAAUAAAUCUUGGGGCCCCAAAAUCACUAAGCUAAAGGGAAAAUCAAGCUAGGAACUGUUUAGGGCAAACCUGCCUCAUAUUCUAUACAAAGUCGCCCCUCUGCUCACUGAGAUAAAUGCAUAUCUGAUUGCCUUCUUUGGAGAGGCUAAUCAGAAACUCAAAAUAAUGCAACCAUUUGUCUCUUUUCUACCGAUGACCUGGAAGCCCCCUCCCCACUUCAAGUUGUCCCUCCUUUGCUUCAAGAUGGAACCAAUGUUCAUAUUACAUAUGUUGAUUGAUGUCUCAUGUCUCCCGAAAAUGUAUAAAAUCAAACUGUGCUCUGACCACCUAGGGGAAAUGUCGUCAGGACCUUCUGAGGCUGUGUCAUGUGUGCAUGUCCUCACUUUGUCAAAAUAAACUUUCUAAAUUAACUGAGACCUCCCUCAGAUAUUUGGGGUUCACACCAGCUUUUCUUUGUUCUGACUUUUAACUGUAUUGUUUUUGGGCAGGGCAAUUUAUACAUUUCCUAUGGGGUCUCCAUACUACUGUAUUUCUUGUAGUAUGGUUAAAGGUACUUGAAAUAACUUCAACAUGGAAAAUGGAAUCUUGACACCUAUGAGUAAAAUAAAUGCAGGCACCUUUUGUCUGUGAGUUUCAAUGAGCAGAUGAGAAGGGAUUCUCUAGCCCAUGGAGAAUAAGGGUUAGAGUAUCAGCCUAUGAGAGUCAAGUGGGGAGUCAAGAACUUUGUGUUUCCAGGUGGCCAGCAACACUUCCCCUUUCUCCUCUUCUCCAAAGGAGUUUUGGGUUAGUCUUACCUGGUUAGGAGAGGGAUAGCAAUUUUGUCAAGCAGUUCUGAUAGCUGUAAUAGCAAAAGGACAGAAUACGGUGAUUACCUAUUACCUCAGGUUGCCCUGGAGAGGAGAUUCAAGGACUGUCUCUUUUAUGAAUCAUAUUUGAGUAGCUCUGGGUAUUAUUGAGAAUGGCCUUGCAUUAACUACUCAAGGGACUUAUGUAUAAGUAACAACCAACCACUUUAAUGAUAGCAUCUUGAACAGGUGACACUCUUACAUUUUAAAUACGUUUUGCACUUAAUCUAAACUGAUUAUAAAAUCACAUCAUUAUGUUUAUAUAUUUAGGCUACAGAUUUCAGCUCAUUUCAGAAAUAAUCGGGUUAAAAAGAGAGAACUUUUGAUAGAAGUGAAAAAGGACAUUUUGGGGUGUGGUUCUCAUGCACCUAAAGGCGAUUUUGGGGAGAUCAUCCUACCAAAAUGGAAAUUUGGAAAAGGAAAGAAGAAAGCUCACAUAUUAAUAUUUUGAAACAUUAGUAUUGUACAGAUUUCCAAGGGCAGAGAAUAUGAUUUGUCUGCAUACCUCUAGAUGGAAAGUUCAAUACUCAAUAGAAGUAAUUAAAUAACUGGAAUCACAAAUAAAGGAAGACGACACUCACGCCAUGGAAGGAGAUUUUCCUUUCUUUCUUGGCCUUCCUACUUUAACUUCUGCCUUCCCUUUGUACAACGGAAAAUCUCUCAUCCCGUACCCUUCCAUCCUACCCCAGACCUAAAUGUGCCUUACCUUUUGAGAAGAUCUGUCAGAGGUGUUCUAUUCAAGAACAACUCCAUCUUGAAUAGAAGCUGGGCAACAUAAUGCUGAGACCUACUGGGUUGCAUUCCCAGAUGGUUAAGGCAUUCUAAGUCACAGGAUGAGAUAGGAGGUUGGCACAAGAUACAGGUCAUAAAGACCUUGCUGAUAAAACAUUGCGGUAAAGAAGCUGGCUAAAACCCCCAAAACCAAGGUGACCAUGAGAGUGACCUCUGGCUGUCCUCACUGCUACAUUCCCAUCAGUGCCAUGAUAGUUUACAAAUGCCAUGGCAAGGUCAGGAAGUUAUGCUAGAUGGUCUAAAAGGGGAGGUAUGACUAACCCACCCCUUGUUUAACAUAUCAUCAAGAAAUAACCAUAAAAAUGCGCAACCAGCAGUUCUUGGGGCUGCUCUGUCUAUAGAAUAGCCAUUCUUUUAUUUAUUUACUUUCCUAAUAAACUUGCUGUCACUUUAUGGACUCAUCUUGAAUUCUUUCUUGUGCGAGAUCCAGGAACCCUCUCUUGGGGUCUGGAUUGGAACCUCUUUCCCAUAACAGUUCCAGAACCUGCAAGGUAAGGAUGAGGUCGCAUAAAAGCUUCGGAAGUUGGAAGUUGGAGAAAUUUGGCUUUGAAUCUUGUUUUAAAGAUAGGGGCUCGCAAAUAGAAAACUAAGUCAGAAAGGAGGCAAAUGCAAGAUCAUUCACAGGAGAACUUCCUAUGUGAAAUCAAAAGACAACAAAUGAUGUUGGGUAGGAGCAAGAAUCCAAGUGACCAGAGGGACAAAAUGUGACUUGGGGUGGUUGUGAGAAAAAAAAAUCUGUUCAACAAGAAUAUAGACUCAGAGAGAGAGGGGGAUACACUUUCUUCUGUGAAGAUGAAAUGUGUAAGCAGAGGGUAGAGGCUAAUGGGAAAAGACAUCUUCCUGGGAUGCUUGUCUCUGUACUCUUCAAGGGUUAUCUUGCUCUGGGCAUUUAUAAUGGCUUUUCUCCAUUUUCUCCAGUGAAGUCCAGUUUUCUAAUCAACUCUCAUGUCAAUCCUAUAUCUUUUUCAUCUGCCUUAAGGAUUCCUUGCAUGUGCGAGCAGGAAAGUCUUUGAGAUUCUUUAACACAGUCAACUAACAAAUGGGAAAACUAAGGAUCUGGUCAAAUAAGUGACUUAUUGUCACUAGAAACAGUUGUGGCAAACAUUUUUAACAAAUCCAAAUUUUCUUAGUCUUAUUCCAGUUUUCUUUUUAGCGUGCCAGGCUGCUUCCAGUUAUUUCAUUUCUCCUCCUUCUGAGAACUCUGUGUGUGUGCACAUGUGCAUUUGUAUAUGUUGGUCUCUUAUGUAUAUGUUAAUAAGGAUGGUUAUCUAAGGGACAAAAUUACUCAGUAAGAUAUGAAAAGGCUUCUAAGAUAUAUUUUGAAGGUUAAUAUAACUGCCAAAUGUGUUCAAAUGGAUUUUAAUUUACUCUUUAACAAUUUAUUUGCCUCUGUCUGUCCCCUUGGAGCAAUGCCAUCAAAUAGAAAUAUAAUGAGAGUCACAAAUACAAGUUGCGUAUGUAAUUUUAAAUUUUCAAGUAGUUACAUUUAAAAAGCAAGAUGAGCAAAAUUAAUUUUAAUAAUGUUUUUCUUAGCUUAAUAUACCCAAAAUAUUAUCAUUUUAACCUGUAUUCUAUAAAGAAGUUAUUAUGCGAGUUUUAUAUUUUCUCACAAUGAGUCUUCAAAGCUGGUGUGUAUUUUACAUUUUUAGCUCAUCUAAAUUUAGAAUAGCCACAUUUAAGGUGUUCAACAGCCAUAUCUGGUUAGUAGCUACCCUAUCAGGCCUUAGAGUAUAAUUGUUUAGGCACAGCCCUUAUUCAGUCACAAAAAUCGUAGCCAUUGCCCAUUUAAUAGCUAUUAUUUUGGUACCAGA